RNAcentral lists this long non-coding RNA (513 nucleotides) under Phoenix dactylifera (date palm). RNAcentral describes it as "long non-coding RNA (PDAC_LNC008814)". The record is from RNAcentral. Lineage: Eukaryota; Viridiplantae; Streptophyta; Magnoliopsida; Arecales; Arecaceae.
AAAGAAGUCUUAUCAAUAAGGUCAGAAAAAAGGGAUGCGUGAUGUGCGCUUGAGGAUUGCUAAUGGUCUUAAACCAUUGCAUUGCUACUGGUUUCGGUCUGUUCAUAUGCGUGAGAGAUUUGUGGGCAGGUUGGUUAUGAUUGAUCACACUUUGACAUAGUACAAUCCAAUUCAUAUCUUGAUUGAAUUUUACUUAGUGAAUUUAGUUUCAGUUGAUAUCAAGAUAUACGUGACAAAGCGUUUAAUACCUAUAUAUGUGUGAUUAGGCUAAAAAGUGAAUAAAAAAUUCUUUUGUUGCUCCAUUUUUUCAAUUUAGCUUUAUGAAUCCUCUUUAUGUAAUCUUUCUAUAAAGGUUUAUUUUUGCUGUUAUUGGAUGUUUUUCCAAAUUCUUGCUCACAACCUCUAUCAUGCAAUCCUGUACUCAUGAUUUGAUCUUCUCUCCUUCUAGGAUCUCCUCGCAUCUUCAGUGUGUACACCAAUACCUUUUCAAUGAAUUUUACGACUUCGUCUUCA